RNAcentral lists this ribosomal RNA (809 nucleotides) under uncultured bacterium. Its description in RNAcentral is "bacterial SSU rRNA". It matches the Rfam family "Bacterial small subunit ribosomal RNA", at positions 248 to 1079 of the family's 1533-position model. The record is from RNAcentral.
GUUGGUGAGGUAAUGGCUCACCAAGGCUAUGACGCCUAACUGGUUUGAGAGGAUGAUCAGUCACACUGGAACUGAGACACGGUCCAGACUCCUACGGGAGGCAGCAGUGGGGAAUAUUGCACAAUGGACGAAAGUCUGAUGCAGCAACGCCGCGUGGAGGAUGACACAUUUCGGUGCGUAAACUCCUUUUAUAUAGGAAGAUAAUGACGGUACUAUAUGAAUAAGCACCGGCUAACUCCGUGCCAGCAGCCGCGGUAAUACGGAGGGUGCAAGCGUUAUCCGGAUUUAUUGGGUUUAAAGGGUGCGUAGGCGGUUAUUUAAGUCAGUGGUGAAAGUUUUCGGCUCAACCGGAAAAUUGCCAUCGAUACUGGAUAGCUGGAAUAUGGUUGCUGUGAGUAGAAUGUGUGGUGUUGCGGUGAAAUGCAUAGAUAUCACACAGAAUACCGAUUGCGAAGGCAUCUCACAAAGCCAUCAUUGACGCUGAGGCACGAAAGUGUGGGGAUCAAACAGGAUUAGAUACCCUGAUAGUCCACACUGUAAACGAUGAUAACUAGCUGUUGGCGAUACACAGUCAGUGGCCAAGCGAAAGCGAUAAGUUAUCCACCUGGGGAGUACGACCGCAAGGUUGAAACUCAAAGGAAUUGACGGGGGCCCGCACAAGCGGAGGAACAUGUGGUUUAAUUUCGAUGAUACGCGAGGAACCUUACCCGGGCUCGAACGGUGCAGGAAUAUUUCAGAGAUGGAAUAGCUAGCAAUAGUCUGUAUCGAGGUGCUGCAUGGUGUCGUCAGCUCGUGCCGUGAGUGUCGCU